This 465-nucleotide ribosomal RNA is filed under the name uncultured bacterium. Its description in RNAcentral is "partial 16S ribosomal RNA". It matches the Rfam family "Bacterial small subunit ribosomal RNA", at positions 338 to 795 of the family's 1533-position model. The record is from RNAcentral.
CCUACGGGAGGCAGCAGUAGGGAAUCUUCCACAAUGGGCGAAAGCCUGAUGGAGCAACGCCGCGUGGGUGAAGAAGGUCUUCGGAUCGUAAAACCCUGUUGUUAGAGAAGAAAGUGCGUGAGAGUAACUGUUCACGUUUCGACGGUAUCUAACCAGAAAGCCACGGCUAACUACGUGCCAGCAGCCGCGGUAAUACGUAGGUGGCAAGCGUUAUCCGGAUUUAUUGGGCGUAAAGGGAACGCAGGCGGUCUUUUAAGUCUGAUGUGAAAGCCUUCGGCUUAACCGGAGUAGUGCAUUGGAAUCUGGGAGACGUGAGUGCAGAAGAGGAGAGUGGAACUACAUGUGUAGCGGUGAAAUGCGUAGAUAUAUGGAAGAACACCAGUGGCGAAAGCGGCUCUCUGGUCUGUAACUGACGCUGAGGUUCGAAAGCGUGGGUAGCAAACAGGAUUAGAUACCCCUGUAGUC